This 488-nucleotide long non-coding RNA is filed under the name Mytilus galloprovincialis (Mediterranean mussel). Lineage: Eukaryota; Metazoa; Mollusca; Bivalvia; Mytilida; Mytilidae. The record is from RNAcentral.
CUUAAAUAUUUUCAUGUAACAAUAAAAUUAACAUCUCAAGUUUAGCACAUAUAUUACUAAUAUAUGUGCGACCAGGGACAUAUAAUACAAUGAUAACUGAGAGUUUUAUGCUCAUUUCCAUGCAACUGAAAUAGUACAGUUCAACUAUGCAAAUUUCGGUAUCUGUACAGCUAAGGAUAUAUGUAUCAGUGAUGCUAACUUGUAAUAAUUUGCAUAAAGUCGGAAAGGGAGAAAGGCAAGGUUCUUCCAUGUUCAUAGUGUGUCCCAUUUUCUGCAAAUAUCUCAAUUGUUUGUGUAAUCAGUUGCGCUGUGCCUCCCACUGGUGAUAGAAAACAAUCAGCAUGACAAUCAAAUUCAAGCGUACAUAGGAUGAUCCUUUUCAUCUUUAGUGUGGAUUAAAUGGCAACAUAUAUCUCCUCCAUAAUGGUACCAACAGCUGUCCAUGCCGAGAUUACUUUUCUUUUAAAUCCUUUUGUUAACUUACUACA